Molecule: long non-coding RNA, 484 nt
Filed under: Strigops habroptila (Kakapo)
Lineage: Eukaryota; Metazoa; Chordata; Aves; Psittaciformes; Psittacidae
Description: lncRNA (ENSSHBG00005019429.1)
Source: RNAcentral
ACUCGCUAACCAGCAAGUGCCGAGCUGAAACCAGCACUUGGGUUAAUGGCACCCAGUGCCUGGAAAUCCCAACACUCAAAGAGAAGAAUAGACUCAGGAAACCCAUUGCAGAGAAACUGUCAUGAUCGGAAUAACCGCAGCAUUGAGUAGCUGAAACUGCUCCUGGGGAAGGAGUUUCAGAGACACCAGCCCAACUCCAAGCUGGAGGAGUCAACAACCUGGAGAUGUCAGCUACCGAAAUAUAGCCGAGCUUUUGCAGCAUCUGCCAAAAGCCUACAGCAGGAUAUUUGUGAAGGGGAUGCCUGUUGCCUCAAACUAUGUAGAGGAAAUUCCUCAGGAUGUCUUGCUCACAGAGUCAGAGUACUGCUUGUGAGAUGCAGGAUAUGUGCGCCUUUUAUAAAGGCAAAAGCUCAUUUAUAUCCUUGUAGGAAAGAAAGUUAUGGCUGUGUUGUCGAUUUUACAAGAUAUGUUUAUCAAAGUCUUU